This 468-nucleotide ribosomal RNA is filed under the name uncultured bacterium. RNAcentral's name for it is "partial 16S ribosomal RNA". It matches the Rfam family "Bacterial small subunit ribosomal RNA", at positions 28 to 507 of the family's 1533-position model. The record is from RNAcentral.
GACGAACGCUGGCGGCGUGCUUAACACAUGCAAGUCGAACGGAAAGGCCCUGCUUUUGUGGGGUGCUCGAGUGGCGAACGGGUGAGUAACACGUGAGUAACCUGCCCUUGACUUUGGGAUAACUUCAGGAAACUGGGGCUAAUACCGGAUAGGAGCUCCUGCUGCAUGGUGGGGGUUGGAAAGUUUCGGCGGUUGGGGAUGGACUCGCGGCUUAUCAGCUUGUUGGUGGGGUAGUGGCUUACCAAGGCUUUGAUGGGUAGCCGGCCUGAGAGGGUGACCGGCCACAUUGGGACUGAGAUACGGCCCAGACUCCUACGGGAGGCAGCAGUGGGGAAAAUUGCACAAUGGGCGGAAGCCUGAUGCAGCAACGCCGCGUGCGGGAUGACGGCCUUCGGGUUGUAAACCGCUUUCGCCUGUGACGAAGCGUGAGUGACGGUAAUGGGUAAAGAAGCACCGGCUAACUACGUG